UGGGGAAUAUUGCACAAUGGGCGCAAGCCUGAUGCAGCCAUGCCGCGUGUAUGAAGAAGGCCUUCGGGUUGUAAAGUACUUUCAGUCGGGAGGAAGGUGGUAAGGUUAAUAACCUUAUCAAUUGACGUUACCGACAGAAGAAGCACCGGCUAACUCCGUGCCAGCAGCCGCGGUAAUACGGAGGGUGCAAGCGUUAAUCGGAAUUACUGGGCGUAAAGCGCACGCAGGCGGUUGAUUGAGUCAGAUGUGAAAUCCCCGGGCUUAACCCGGGAAUUGCAUCUGAUACUGGUCAGCUAGAGUCGUGUAGAGGGGGGUAGAAUUCCAUGUGUAGCGGUGAAAUGCGUAGAGAUGUGGAGGAAUACCGGUGGCGAAGGCGGCCCCCUGGACAAAGACUGACGCUCAGGUGCGAAAGCGUGGGGAGCAAACAGG
Molecule: ribosomal RNA, 429 nt
Filed under: Chloroflexota bacterium
Lineage: Bacteria; Bacillati; Chloroflexota
Description: Chloroflexi bacterium partial 16S ribosomal RNA
Rfam family: Bacterial small subunit ribosomal RNA
Source: RNAcentral